GCUGCUGGAGAAGAGGAGUUUAUGGGGGGCUCCCGGGGCUGUCUCAUGGAAGGACAGUGAGCGCUUCGGACGGGGUCCGGGCGAUCAUCUGGAUCACUCGGAUACGUGGAGCAUUGCUCAAAGGAGGAGCCGAGGGACAAACCUUUGUGCCGAGAAGCAGCGGCCAAACAGCUGUCUCGGCUGUCACACCUGUCCUGAGGAAAGCCCUGUGGAAGGAGCUCAGUGCUGGGAUUCAGGACCCUGAGGCCACUGUGAAACUGCAAAUUCUUUCCAAGCUGUUGCCACCUCCGGGAAGCAAAGGGCUGCACAACCUGAUGGACUGCCUUCCUGCUGCUCCGGAGAGAGCAGGCAAUGAAGAGAGUGUGUGGUUGAAGAAGUGGACCCAGAUGACUGGUGUGACCUUGUGAAGACAGGGCUCAAGUACCGUUACAGAGAUGAAACAUUUCUGAAGGUCCUGAACGUUGCCAUCCAGUUACUAUACAUGAAAGAAUCCUCACUUAGAGCGUAGUCAAGCUCUCCAAACUACACAUGGGGGUCACACAGCACUCUCUAUUUUUGGCAGCCAUCCUGAGGUCAAGAGAAGAAGAUGGCAUGAGCGUCCAGACAAGAGGAUGGCUCUCUGUGGUCUCAGACAGUGUUCCCUGGGAGGAAGGGCAGCCUUUGCCUCGCCUGCACAGCUCAGGUGGAUGUGACAGAACUGGUGUGGCCUGACAAGGCAUGAGCAGCUGUCUGUGCACUGGAGUGCCUUGAAACCUUUCUCUGUGAGGUUUUGGACACGUUUCUCUUUGGGAUUUCUUGUGACACAGCACCAGCUCCUCCCAUCUUUGCCAGAAGCUUCGGUGUUUAAGCAGCCAGAGCCAAGAGGCUUCAGCACCAGGGGUGUGCGCUGGAGGGCUCCUGGUCCUGCCCACGCUGUGGGGGAGCCAGGGCUGGCACAAGGACUCAUGAAGGUGCUGCUCUGGCACUGGAGCUGUUGCCCUGUGGAGCCAUUUUAAAGGUCUGAUAAUGGAACAUUUUGGAGGCCGUUUCUGGAAUUCCAUUUGUAGCUGGAUCUCGCUCCAAGUGCAGCAGUCCAGCAAGGAAGGGAUGGGACUGCUCUUGGCCGGGAGCACUCAGUGCUCAGGUAAACACCCGCCUCGGAGCGUGAGGGUUUGCAGAGCGAGCAGCUGCUGCGGCUCAGGAGCAGCCACAAGUUCUUUGUUCCAAGGCAGGCCAGAACUUUCUAACCCCGGGGUUUAUUUGGCUUUUCGAACCCAGCACCUCUGCUCAGUUCUGCCGCACUGAGGGUACUUUUGUUCAAUGCCUUCUGUUGGAACUUGUCAGCUCUCAGUGUAGCGCACACAGCCCCAGCCCUGCCCUGCAAACCCUUCCCCAUCGUGCCCACACAGUUUCUCUCUCACUCACUCGGGGCAGGCUCUUACUGACAGCCACAGAAACAGAAGUUAUUUUAUUUUAUUUUAUUCUUUUCCUGCGUAAUGCCCGUGUCUUGUAUUGGUACAUCAAUCCCAGCUUCUCCCGAGGCUGCAGAUCAAAUCUUUCAGUGUCUGUGGGAGUUUCUGGUUUUCCCAUUCCCAUGUCUUCCCCCUCUCUCUGUAUGAAAAAAAAAAUUAUUAGUGGAUUUGUUAAGCAUUUGUUGCAUAUAUUAACAUAAAUAAGGUGUUAUCAUUAGUAUUAUUAUUGUAAUAAUAUAAUUAAAAUGUAUACUUUUGUUACAAGAUUUUUUAAUUAUGGUGUUAAAUUUUAUUUAUUGUUAUGUUUUAUUAGUUAUUCUUAUUUUUGAUAUUUCUUAAAGUUGUACACUUUAAUAAGUAGAUUUGGUGUUUUAGAUAAAUGUAUACAUUUUAUUAAAUUUUUAUAUUUAUAUUUGUAUGUUAAUAAAAUAAAUUUUUUUGUUGGUUUUUUG
Molecule: long non-coding RNA, 1903 nt
Filed under: Taeniopygia guttata (zebra finch)
Lineage: Eukaryota; Metazoa; Chordata; Aves; Passeriformes; Estrildidae
Description: lncRNA (ENSTGUG00000019047.1)
Source: RNAcentral